This 77-nucleotide transfer RNA is filed under the name Akkermansiaceae bacterium. RNAcentral's name for it is "tRNA-Asp". It matches the Rfam family "tRNA". From Rfam's summary of the family: Transfer RNA (tRNA) molecules are approximately 80 nucleotides in length. Their secondary structure includes four short double-helical elements and three loops (D, anti-codon, and T loops). Further hydrogen bonds mediate the characteristic L-shaped molecular structure. tRNAs have two regions of fundamental functional importance: the anti-codon, which is responsible for specific mRNA codon recognition, and the 3' end, to which the tRNAs corresponding amino acid is attached (by aminoacyl-tRNA synthetases). tRNAs cope with the degeneracy of the genetic code in two manners: having more than one tRNA (with a specific anti-codon) for a particular amino acid; and 'wobble' base-pairing, i.e. permitting non-standard base-pairing at the 3rd anti-codon position. Lineage: Bacteria; Pseudomonadati; Verrucomicrobiota; Verrucomicrobiia; Verrucomicrobiales; Akkermansiaceae. The record is from RNAcentral.
GGAGCGGUAGUUCAGUUGGUUAGAACGCCGGCCUGUCACGCCGGAGGUCGCUGGUUCGAGUCCCGUCCGCUCCGCCA